Sarcophilus harrisii (Tasmanian devil) is the source of this 2003-nucleotide long non-coding RNA. RefSeq lists it as uncharacterized. Lineage: Eukaryota; Metazoa; Chordata; Mammalia; Dasyuromorphia; Dasyuridae. The record is from RefSeq and is a predicted model, not a curated record. The transcript is spliced from 4 exons.
AGAUGUAACAACUAGAUGUAACAACCAACCAAGUAGAUGUAACAACUAGAUGUAACAGCCAACAAACUAGAUGUAACAAUUAGAUGUAACAACCAACCAAGUAGAUGUAACAACCAACCAAGUAGAUGUAACAACUAGAUGCAACAACCAACAAACUAGAUGUAACAACUAGAGAGAGGAAGAGGAGGGAGACACUGCCACCAGCCACAGGACACAGUAACAACUAGAUGUAACAACAUAAGACUAUAUGGAAGCUCUUUUUGAAAUACUAAAGAACUUUAAGAUGGAAUCUGGUCAGGUUUGGAUAAGCAAAUUGUGGUUUAGAUGGAAUGUAAAGCUACUCUGGCAUAAGAAAUGAUGAAAGGGGCAAUGUCAGUGAAGCCUGGAAAGAAUUGGAGGCCCUGAUGCAAAGUGAGGGAAGUAGAACAAGGAGAACUAUCUAUUCAACAACUAUGUAAAAAAAAAGGCACUUUAAAAGACCCCAGACUGAUCAAAGCAAGACCCAACCAUGAUGAAUCUUGUCAUCCAUGUCCUGAGAGAGGGCAGACUUCAGAUGAAGAAUAAAACAUAUUUUUCUUUUUUUGAAUGUUAAUUAGAAGUGUUUUCUUUUCUUUUUCUCCUAGGAUUGGGCAGUAUUGGGAAGGAACGAAAAUCAAAUUAUUUUGUUAACUAAAAACAAAGUGGCAGUGCUAGACAAGAUGACAAGAUGUUCUCCGAGGUCAAGGGGAGAAAGUUCAAGCUCUAAUUGAAUUGACAGCGUCUUUUGAAUAUAAGUCCAUGGGAUGAUAAAAGGAAAAGGAAAACAUGAGCACCGUUCCUGGCGUAUAAUUUCAAUAUACGUUUGUUAAGAUGAGAUCUUUUGUGGCACGCCUCGAAAAUAAAGCAUCACAGGUUUUAUGGUGAUUUCAACAUUUAUUCUACAAGUUAAUGAUAUGACUGCAUAAAGUCAGUUGACUCAGAAAUGACUUUUGCAUUAGCAAUCAGUGAUUUCCUCUAUGUUAAGAUAGCAGCAAUGUUACGUUUUUGCUAGGUCUUUAAAUUUCUGCCCCAUUAAGAUGUUAGCUUCCAACUCUUUUCUAAAAGAAAAUACUUCUUAUCUAAAGACACAAGGCUUGUUCCACCUGCGUUUGAGCCUUCAUUUCUUCUGACCCAUAUUUUGCAACAUUCUGUUAUAUUUUUCCCUUUGCCUUCACAUUGAAAUUAUUAAGCAUUAAGUAUGUAUUUUGAUUUGGGGAAUUUAAAAAAAAAUUUUGUAACUCAACAGCAGUUAGUGUUACUGCAGAGGACACAAUUGACCAAUUUUACCUUUUCCAGCAAAUGUUUUGCAAAAACUUUAAAAUGCCGUUGUUUAUUAGUAAUCUUACUGAUACAGCAACGGUUGACACAAAUUGCUGUCUGUUCUUGCAUAUUUAACAUCUUGUCGACACUUGUAAGGGACAAAAUUUCUCCAUUUUGUAACUGAGUAAAACUGUUGGGAUGUAAGUUUCUAGAGACUUACUGAAAGCAUCAUUAAGAUGACUUGAAUAACAAACCAGGAUGACAUCCUGUUUGUACAUAUUUUUUAUUAGAAAGCUUUUCAUUACAUAUUGUUUGAAGAUGAUUAUGAACAUUCAAGGUAGUAGCACCAGUUAUUGAAACUCCUGAGGAAUCAAAGCCGUUGCUUUUGUUCAGUCAUUUUUUAGUCAUUUCCUACUCUUCAUGAGGGUUUUCUUGGCCAAGUUACUGGAGUGCUUUACCAUUUCUUUCUCUGACUAAUUUGUAGCUGAAGAGACUGAAGUAAACAGAGUGAAAUGCCUUGCCCAAGGUCACAAAGCUGAUGAGUGUCUGAGACUGGAUUUCAACUCAGAUAUUCUCAUUUCCAGAUCAGAUACUCUAAGUUCAGAGCAUCCUAGCCUCAAUCAAUGUUAUGUCCAAGUAAUGUAGGAUUACACUUUUGUCAGUAACAAUAUAUUGUUUUUAGCAAAACAUUUUUAUUAGGAUUUUUAAAAAUAGUUUUUCAAAUU